RNAcentral lists this long non-coding RNA (2715 nucleotides) under Lactuca sativa (garden lettuce). Its description in RNAcentral is "long non-coding RNA (LSAT_LNC007861)". Lineage: Eukaryota; Viridiplantae; Streptophyta; Magnoliopsida; Asterales; Asteraceae. The record is from RNAcentral.
GAAACCAUAAAUACUUAUGUUUCUCUCUUCCCUCAUCCGUGACCUUCCCCACCACAACCAUUUCCGCCUCAUUCACCACCAUCAUACACCUAACGCCGCUCAUUGUUCCCAUCACCACCCCACAUUUCCUCUCAAAACCCUAGAUGUCGUCGUCCCACCGCAACUCUGUUUUGUACGACAAUCGCAUCCACCAUCCAUAAGCCCUAAUGUUGGUGCACCGACCAUUCCCAAUAACUUGCGCCUGCCCCAAUGUUACCUGUUACAAAAUCGUGAAUCCCAGCUACUACAACCAAACACCGUCUCCGAACAUCCUCCACUCUUUAUCUUUGUCUCUAUCUAAAAACCACCGCACCACCACCAUUGUCGAACAUCCACUUUGUAUCUACUCAGUUUGAAUCUCUUUACCGGAAGCAAAAUAAGGUACCAAAAAAUUUGGUUUGGCUAAUAGGGGGAUUUAGGGCGCCGAUAGUUUCCAGUGUCCCAACUUUUGCAAAGGUAGAGGCGGAAUGGUGGGGAUUGGGGUUUCGUUGUACAACCACUUGGUCUGAUAUGGUGCCUCCUAUUAAUAUGUGGAAUCCUUCGUCAGGUAUUUAUAUGUUCUAAACACUAUUCUCUCCUGUAAUCAUAUGUUCUUUUAUACACAACUACCACCUCCACCACUCAACUUACAAUGGUUUGCAGCCACCACCUUCACUACUCUCCGCAACAAAAGCAGCCCUGGAAGCAAGCACUAAAACUCGGUUAAGAGGAGAAUUAGAUCAUGUUCGUGUUUCCCUUUCCAUUUCCUUUAUCCAUUGUACAUAAAAACCCUUAUUUUUUUUUUUGUUUUUUGUUGAAGGUAUUAUUUUAGUAUGAUGCUCAUGGCUUUUUCUAGGUUUACAGGUGCAUCUUUCUUAUUUUUAGUUGAAAGGGUAUACACAAUCAAAUUAUGAAAGGUACCAUGUGGAACCUGGAAGUUUCUGAAAUGUAGAAAUGGAGAUUAGGAAAGACUACCCAAAGCCUUGAUUAUCACAAGGAAGGAAGGUUAGAUUGGUCUUUUCCCAUAAUUAUUUUAUCAUAUAUUUUAAUUUUAAAACACAUAAAUGAUAAGUUUUUACCUGUUGAUGAGGAUCAUUGCAGGUUACGGGAUGUUAAAGAGAGUGUACAUGCAAGAAAACUUAAAAGGACAUAACAAGGUUUGCUUUUUUCCAUAAGGACAUAAUAAGGUUUGCUUAGUUUCAUCAAUAUGUUUUUAUUGUGACAAGCAACUAAACCGGGCUGAUUUAAAAAUUCUUGUAGUCCAUUUCCUCAUUGAGAUGUUCAUGUUUUUUGUUUUUUAUUUGCCUUGCAUUAUCAUUCUAGCCCUUACCUUUUAUGUCCAUGUUUAGUUGAGUACAUUUAAGAAAAGUUUUGAUGAAAAUAAUGAGAUGAAUUCAAAUCUUAUAAAGCAAAAUUGUUAGGUUUUACACCUUAUUUUGUUGGUCUUCCAUUGCUUUCUUCUUUUCCACUUUCAAUAUUCCUAAUUUUUAUAUCCGAUUCAAUUAGGUAGAGAUGGAAGUAACCAAAAGUUCUUGAAUACAAUUCUUUUUUAAUUGAAUUUGUUUUUUUUUUUUCGUUUUUUUUGUAAGAUUUAGGGUCAGUUUGCAUAACAUUCUCUCAGUGAUGAACACUAUAAGUAGGUCUCCUUCCCCCAUUGUAUGUUUUCUGAAUAAUACAUAAUAAUCUUCGUAAUCCACCUAUCGUUCCCCUUUUUUUUACUUAUGUUUUUUGAUUGCUUCUCUUUUGAUUUGGUGAUGUCAGACCUCUGGAACCUGGAUUCAAAUGGUAUGUGAAACCAAUUCUAGAUUUUCACCCCUCAAAGUUUCAACUUUUUUGCUUAUAAUAUUUGAAAUGUUGCAAAAAGAGGUUCAAAAUAAAUGAGCUUGAAGUUUUAGUUAGGUACAUUUUCAUACAAAAUGUUGCAACUUUACUUUUAAUAAUAGUUACUUUAAUUUUUACCUACAAUAGAAAAAUACUUAUAUUUUUUUACACUGCAAUACACUCAUUAUGUUCAUCAGUUGAUGUGCAUUUGUCACAUUUGUUUCUUUAUACAUUGCAGGGAAUCACUUUCGAGCAUCGAUGAAGAUGUAUAGAUCGAUAUGCAUUGUUUCUUUCAUGGGGGUUGCAGGGGAUAUUUUAAAUUUGUGAAGUAUAAAUGUUAAAGCGGCAACACCUUUGCAUUUGGCUGCAAGUGAAAUACGUAUUGAAUGUAUUCAUUUACAUCAAGAGAAAUGUGUUGAGAAAAGAAACAAAAAAGUAAUAUCAAAUACUCCAUUGUGGGAUUUGUGUGAAAACUAUAUUGUUAGAGAUUAACAAAAUAACAUAAUCCAAAUAAAAUGUGCUAUUUGUUUUACUUAACUGGUAAUUCUUGUAUCAAGCAAUAAGUCGUUCUAUUUGUUUUAUUUAAUUUGUAGUUGUUUUACACCAAUUUCAAAAGACUUCAUGCCUAAUGGAAUGCCCUGCCUCGUGAAAUAUCACCAUGUAUAUUGUGAUGGUUUAAAUUUUACUAUGUUCAUACAAAAAUUUUUAAAACCAUACAUAAUAUUUGAGAAAGGCGUAUUAAAUAAUAUUGACAUUAUUACGACAAUAAAUAUAUAGAGCAAUAUCAAACUAAAUAAUACUAAAUUCACAUAAAACCAUGAAACCUUUAAUUAUCUCUUUAUUAAACCUGAUUAUUUCAUCAAAUAGACUUUUAAA